UACGAAGGGGGCUAGCGUUGUUCGGAAUCACUGGGCGUAAAGGGCGCGUAGGCGGCUUUAUAAGUCGGGGGUGAAAGCCUGUGGCUCAACCACAGAAUUGCCUUCGAUACUGUAGAGCUUGAGACCGGAAGAGGUUAGUGGAACUGCGAGUGUAGAGGUGAAAUUCGUAGAUAUUCGCAAGAACAUCAGUGGCGAAGGCGGCUGACUGGUCCGGAUCUGACGCUGAGGCGCGAAAGCGUGGGGAGCAAACAGG
RNAcentral lists this ribosomal RNA (253 nucleotides) under uncultured bacterium. Its description in RNAcentral is "partial 16S ribosomal RNA". It matches the Rfam family "Bacterial small subunit ribosomal RNA", at positions 524 to 776 of the family's 1533-position model. The record is from RNAcentral.